Molecule: ribosomal RNA, 284 nt
Filed under: uncultured prokaryote
Description: partial 16S ribosomal RNA
Rfam family: Bacterial small subunit ribosomal RNA
Source: RNAcentral
UACGAAGGGGGCUAGCGUUGUUCGGAAUUACUGGGCGUAAAGCGCACGUAGGCGGAUUGUUAAGUUAGGGGUGAAAUCCCGGGGCUCAACCUCGGAACUGCCUUUGAUACUGGCAAUCUUGAGUCCGGAAGAGGUGAGUGGAAUUCCUAGUGUAGAGGUGAAAUUCGUAGAUAUUAGGAAGAACACCAGUGGCGAAGGCGGCUCACUGGUCCGGAACUGACGCUGAGGUGCGAAAGCGUGGGGAGCAAACAGGAUUAGAUACCCCCGUAGUCCCUGAGCGGGCU